RNAcentral lists this non-coding RNA (102 nucleotides) under Chromera velia. Lineage: Eukaryota; Chromeraceae. The record is from RNAcentral.
GAAAAAAAAGAGAGAUCAAAAAAGGGGAAAAAGUGCAAAGUUAGAGCGCUUCUACAAGUCAUCUUUGUAAUUCAAGUCCGCUCCCUCUCUCUUUUUCUCUUU